AGUGAACGCUGGCGGUAGGCCUAACACAUGCAAGUCGAACGGCAGCACAGGAGAGCAUGCUCUCUGGGUGGCGAGUGGCGGACGGGUGAGGAAUACAUCGGAAUCUACUCUGUCGUGGGGGAUAACGUAGGGAAACUUACGCUAAUACCGCAUACGACCUACGGGUGAAAGCAGGGGAUCUUCGGACCUUGCGCGAUUGAAUGAGCCGAGGUCGGAUUAGCUAGUUGGCGGGGUAAAGGCCCACCAAGGCGACGAUCCGUAGCUGGUCUGAGAGGAUGAUCAGCCACACUGGAACUGAGACACGGUCCAGACUCCUACGGGAGGCAGCAGUGGGGAAUAUUGGACAAUGGGCGCAAGCCUGAUCCAGCCAUACCGCGUGGGUGAAGAAGGCCUUCGGGUUGUAAAGCCCUUUUGUUGGGAAAGAAAUCCAGCUGGCUAAUACCCGGUUGGGAUGACGGUACCCAAAGAAUAAGCACCGGCUAACUUCGUGCCAGCAGCCGCCGUAA
Molecule: ribosomal RNA, 506 nt
Filed under: uncultured bacterium
Lineage: Bacteria
Description: partial 16S ribosomal RNA
Rfam family: Bacterial small subunit ribosomal RNA
Source: RNAcentral